This is a long non-coding RNA of Bos taurus (domestic cattle), 1283 nucleotides long. Lineage: Eukaryota; Metazoa; Chordata; Mammalia; Artiodactyla; Bovidae. The record is from Ensembl.
ACUGUGGCUCUUGUUGUUAGGCCUUAAUCAGGUGCUUCUUUGCUGUUAAGGGUUGGGGGUCUGCAUCCCUUAAGCAGGAGGACCAGCAAAGAAAUGGUGGUUUCCGAGAAGAAAGUCAAAGUGUUGUGGUCAGAAGAGAGACGGUGGAUUCCAGGCAGAAAGAGACAACUGCUGUUUCGUUUUGAGAUUCCAUAAGAAUAUGUCUGUGGAACAAUGGAAGCCUACAAGACAGGCUAGGCUUCCUGGGAAUGGAUUCCACAAGGAAGGAAAUGCCAGCCAAUGGGCGAGUCAUGUCCCCUGCCAGAGCACGUCUCCUCUCGCUAGCACUGCGAUCACACAUGUUUCACAAUCCCCACAUCUGCUCUGCUAGUGGCUUCAGAGUGGGAGUUCCGAAGACAGUCAGAACAACUUGCUGAUGGAGAAAGAAACCGAAUACAGACCUGGCAUGCCGGGAAGUGGGGGUGGGGAAUGACUUUAUCAUCAUCAUUCUGUUUCUCUCUCUUUAGAAGGUCAGGUUGGCUGUGUCAAGGAAAGCCCUCGAAGGUGGUAAUUCUGCCUUUGACUUCAGCCGGUAGACUUGACAUGCACUCCCCAUGGUAGCUGGUUUGUGCUGAACCUGUCACUGCCUCUUCAAAACAUUGCUGGUUUCCAUGGGAACAGAGCAGCACUUACUGAAAGAGCUGCUGGAAAUUUCAAGAUGUCCAAAACUGUCCCUCUAAUGUGUUUUUCUAAGACCUGAUUUGAAAGAGAAACAAUAGCACAACUUGGCAAAGAAGACAAUGGAAGAGGAAUGAUAAUAAGAGUGGCUUGACAGCGUUUGUGGAUCCCAGCAUGCUGUCUUGAUUCUGCCCUUUAGAAAUCAGUCCCAGGGAGAUACUGGCUGAAGCAGAUUCAUGAUCCACGGGCUCCUGACUUCAGACGUGGCUUUGUUAUGGACAGCAAGCCUAUUUGCUGUUUUCAGAGUUUAAAUCUCCACAGGACAAUGCAGCAACAUAACUGGGAAUACACUUGCUAAAUGAGCCUCUUGCAUGCCUGUCUACCUCCUACUCUCUGAGCUAAAAAAGAGCUCAGCAACUGGGAUGAUUAUAUAUCUAUUUUUUAAAGCCACUCUGUAAGGUGGUAACGUGAAAUGAAAGAUAAUGCUUUUCUUUAACCGUUGUCAGGUUGGCAUACCAGAAGAUGAGAUUUUUCUUUUCAUCUCCUUUAAUUAAUUUUUCAAAAAUAGAUUCGAAAAAGAAUUAGACAAAUGAGAGUUUUUGAAAUUUCUCUUAUGAUAUAAAAAC